Long non-coding RNA from Oreochromis aureus, 442 nucleotides. The record is from Ensembl. Lineage: Eukaryota; Metazoa; Chordata; Actinopteri; Cichliformes; Cichlidae.
GUGGAGGAAGGAGGGGGCAGUUUGCAGCAGGAGACCAGAGAAAGAAAUGAAGGAAACGGGAAGGAAAUGACGAAGGCUUGCUCUCUGAAACAGCUAAGCUGCCACUCUCUCUUUAUCAUCCUGUAUGGAAACCUGGAAAAACACACAAACACAUAGGGUGUUGUUGUUGACUGCCAUACAAAACACAGGAUCUCAGGCACAGGAUGAUAAACAAAGAACAUGGAGAGCAAAUAGAAUUGAAGAGGACACAAUCAAAGAGACAACAGGAAAAAAAGGCAGACUGUUGUGCCGAUGGAUUACAAGUGGGGGAAAAAAAGAGUCACAAAGAAAUGGCAAAACAAAGAAGAAAGUUAAACACCAGAAAUGGACCAGAGGUGUGCCCUGUGGUAUCAUGAACAAAGCUGUUCCAGCAGAUCCUUUGGUUCCUCAUGGUGGACAGCAG